UGGAAACACAAACUUUGCAGACGUGAUCAAGUGAAGAGGACAUCAUACUGGUAGCAGAAGACAGCACCUGCUGUGAAUCCAGGUUCUACUGGGAAGUCCUAGCUCCUCACCUCUGGUACCUCUUUAUUCUUUCAGCCCUACAGACUGUACUGACACCAUAUAAUUGCUAAUUUCUGAGUUGGCUCAUCAUCCUCAAUUUUAAUCCAUCUGAUGUUUUUAUAACUAGCUCCCUGCAGUAAGUACUUUGUAAUGAACUAUUUGAUGUGAGUCUGUCUUCCCCACUGGAUCCUCAUACACGUGGAAAAUACAGCACUAAAUUUAGUACAUUUUGUAGAGAAUAUUAGUCAUUAGUACUUGCAUUUACCUUCUCUGUUUCUAGAGGUUGGCUUCUUUGCAAAAGGAUUGUUUUGAUUCUGCUUAAUAUUUUGCAUUUUAUAUGAAAACUGACAUAAAUUAAUCUGCAUAAGCAUUAUAAUUUAGCACUUUAUAUUUGGUCAAUACUUUGUAAAUAUUAGUUAGUGAAAGAAACACUAAUUUUUAUAGGAAUGUAAUACAAAACUAUGAACCGGGGUCCACAAAGUUUUUCUGUAAAGGGCCAGUUAGUAAACACUUUAAGCUUUGCAGGCCAUAUAAUCUCUGCCACAACUACUUAACUCUGCUGCUGUACCAUGAAUGCAGUAAUAGACAAUAUGUAAACAAGUGAGCAUGGCUGUGUUCCAAUAAAACUUUAUUUACAAAAAAGGUAGUGGGUUUGAUUUGUCCCACAAACCAUAGUUUAUUGACCCUGCUGUAAACUAUCUAGACUUUUGAUUCCGUAUGCUCCGUUGAUAUCUCAUAUACACACUGCAUGUGUCUAUAUUAUUUUAUAUAAAAGAAAAACAUACAGUUUUCUUCUCCCAAAGUAAGUCAAUUUUUCAAAGAUCUGGUAACGUUUACACUCUCAGUAUUUCAUUCUUUCAAAAGAUUGAUAUCUUAGGGAAAAAAAGGUCAUUAAGCCAAAACAUUAGACCUCAGGGAUAAACCUGCAGAAAAUUGAUUGAGUGAUCAAACCAACUUACUCUUUUGUAAAAGUCUCCCUGCCCUCUUAUUCAGAAGGAUGAAUGAUAUCUCGACAAUGAGCCAGGAUUUUUUAUUUUCAGCAUCAAAUUUUUGUUCUACUUCUCAAACAUUCUCCCCAAAUAUCAAAUACUUAAAAAAUGAAAUUGUUUUAGUCCCACAUAGUUAACAAAGAACAUAUGAACUAUUUACAUUUCCACUAAACUUAGUCAUUUUGAAGGCACAUUCCAGUUUGUUUUAUUUUCCUUAACAUCCAAUUUAGUUUCUGUCUCC
Molecule: long non-coding RNA, 1329 nt
Filed under: Homo sapiens (human)
Lineage: Eukaryota; Metazoa; Chordata; Mammalia; Primates; Hominidae
Description: HSALNT0281081
Source: RNAcentral